RNAcentral lists this ribosomal RNA (495 nucleotides) under uncultured bacterium. RNAcentral's name for it is "partial 16S ribosomal RNA". It matches the Rfam family "Bacterial small subunit ribosomal RNA", at positions 28 to 505 of the family's 1533-position model. The record is from RNAcentral.
GAUGAACGCUGGCGGCGUGCCUAAUACAUGCAAGUCGAGCGAACGGACGAGAAGCUUGCUUUUCUGAUGUUAGCGGCGGACGGGUGAGUAACACGUGGAUAACCUACCUAUAAGACUGGGAUAACUUCGGGAAACCGGAGCUAAUACCGGAUAAUAUUUUGAACCGCAUGGUUCAAAAGUGAAAGACGGUCUUGCUGUCACUUAUAGAUGGAUCCGCGCUGCAUUAGCUAGUUGGUAAGGUAACGGCUUACCAAGGCAACGAUGCAUAGCCGACCUGAGAGGGUGAUCGGCCACACUGGAACUGAGACACGGUCCAGACUCCUACGGGAGGCAGCAGUAGGGAAUCUUCCGCAAUGGGCGAAAGCCUGACGGAGCAACGCCGCGUGAGUGAUGAAGGUCGUCGGAUCGUAAAACUCUGUUAUUAGGGAAGAACAUAUGUGUAAGUAACUGUGCACAUCUUGACGGUACCUAAUCAGAAAGCCACGGCUAACUACG